UCUUCUAUGCCAGGUGCUUGUUCAGCUGCUUGUUCCAGCCUGUAGAAGAGCCUGAACACAAAUUGGCAGAAUCUAUGCAGCAAGGCUCUGAAAAUCAUCUCCAGUGAUCCAGAAAGCCUCAUAGCAAGCAGAAGUAGUCCUGCUCCUUGUCACUGUGAUUAUGGAGAUGCAGGAAGCAGGUAUGCAUGUGUGGCAUGGCCUAACAAAGGAAGUGUGCCUUGUUUGUUAACUAACUGAGCAUGUCCCUUCCCUGCCCUGACAAUAAUUCCUCCUCUCAGGUUUUCACAGGGAAACUGCCACAGUGCUUAAGAUGCACCAUGAAGAAUAACAACGUGCUUUUUCUGUGUCUUGGACACCUAUUUUAUUUGUAGAAGGGCACUGAGCACAGUUCAGCAGCUUCCCAGGCCUGGGUAACUGUACACUUUUAAAAAUUUGUGGAAAAUAUCACAAUCCCUUUCUGUAGUACCCUCUAACCUAGCUGUAUUUGGUCUCUUUGUGUCUUAUCCAUAAUGCACUUUAUAAAAAGAAGAAGAAAGAGCAACAAAUGUGAGACUUUGAAAGCUGGUAAGAAAUAAAACUUCCAUGGCUAUUCUUAAGAGAAAACUGACAAUGCUUUUGGGCCAAAGUCUGGAAAAAAUGAAGUUAAUUGAAAGCAUUUGUUCAUCCUUCAUGCCAGACUUUCAGACUCUGUGAUGUGACUGACUGAUGUGGCUGCUGUGCAUGGAGCUGCUUGGGAGGAUCACCAGAAGGCUUUGAGGAAAGCUUCAGAAAUGAUGGACCAGACAUGGAGGAGAAACCUUCUGCAAACCUUUCCACCCCAAAGGCAUCAUUUCAAACAGUCACAUGUAUGGAGGGAGAAAAUUACAGAGAUCCAUGCAGCUACCUGCAUACUGUCCUGAAUACUACAAAAGCUGCAGUUAAAAGUAGAAGCCAAACUUCCUCUGCAUUUACAGCAGAACACAUUAAGGAAUCAGUACAGACACGGUUACAGGAGGAGGGAGAAGGUUUCUGUGGCUCAGCAGGAAGGUAUUAA
Molecule: long non-coding RNA, 1033 nt
Filed under: Zonotrichia albicollis (white-throated sparrow)
Lineage: Eukaryota; Metazoa; Chordata; Aves; Passeriformes; Passerellidae
Description: lncRNA (ENSZALG00000000847.1)
Source: RNAcentral